UGCAGGCUGCAACCCGCCUGCAUGAAGCCGGAAUCGCUAGUAAUCGCGGAUCAGAAUGCCGCGGUGAAUACGUUCCCGGGUCUUGUACACACCGCCCGUCACACCAUGGGAGUCGAUAACGCCCGAAGUCAGUGACCCAACCGAAAGGAGGGAGCUGCCGAAGGCGGGAUUGGUAACUGGGGUGAAGUCGUAACAAGGUAAC
RNAcentral lists this ribosomal RNA (202 nucleotides) under uncultured bacterium. RNAcentral describes it as "partial 16S ribosomal RNA". It matches the Rfam family "Bacterial small subunit ribosomal RNA", at positions 1299 to 1500 of the family's 1533-position model. The record is from RNAcentral.